AGAAUGAACGCUGGCGGCAUGCCUAACACAUGCAAGUCGAACGAAGCCUUCGGGCUUAGUGGCGCACGGGUGCGUAACGCGUGGGAAUCUACCCUUGGGUUCGGAAUAACAGUUAGAAAUGACUGCUAAUACCGAAUGAUGUCGUAAGACCAAAGAUUUAUCGCCCAGGGAUGAGCCCGCGUAGGAUUAGCUAGUUGGUGAGGUAAAAGCUCACCAAGGCGACGAUCCUUAGCUGGUCUGAGAGGAUGAUCAGCCACACUGGGACUGAGACACGGCCCAGACUCCUACGGGAGGCAGCAGUGGGGAAUAUUGGACAAUGGGCGAAAGCCUGAUCCAGCAAUGCCGCGUGAGUGAUGAAGGCCUUAGGGUUGUAAAGCUCUUUACCCGGGAUGAUAAUGACAGUACCGGGAGAAUAAGCUCCGGCUAACUCCGUGCCAGCAGCGC
Molecule: ribosomal RNA, 444 nt
Filed under: uncultured bacterium
Lineage: Bacteria
Description: SSU rRNA
Rfam family: Bacterial small subunit ribosomal RNA
Source: RNAcentral